UAAGACGAAGGUGGCAAGCGUUGUUCGGAAUCAUUGGGCUUAAAGAGCAUGUAGGCGGCCUGGUAAGCGUUGUGUGAAAUCCCUCGGCCCAACCGAGGAAUUGCAUAGCGAACUGCCGGGCUUGAGGCAAGUAGGGGUGUGUGGAACUCUUGGUGGAGCGGUGGAAUGCGUAGAUAUCAAGAGGAACGCCGGUGGCGAAGGCGACACACUGGGCUUGUCCUGACGCUGAGAUGCGAAAGCCAGGGGAGCAAACGGGAUUAGAUACCCCGGUAGUCCUGGCCCUAAACGAUGUCCACUGGGUCGGAGGUUCUCUGACGGAGUUCCGGCCGAAGCAAAAGUGUUAAGUGGACCGCCUGGGGAGUACGGUCGCAAGGCUA
Molecule: ribosomal RNA, 377 nt
Filed under: uncultured Planctomycetota bacterium
Lineage: Bacteria; Pseudomonadati; Planctomycetota
Description: bacterial SSU rRNA
Rfam family: Bacterial small subunit ribosomal RNA
Source: RNAcentral